RNAcentral lists this transfer RNA (75 nucleotides) under Xanthobacteraceae bacterium. RNAcentral describes it as "tRNA-Glu". It matches the Rfam family "tRNA". Rfam says of the family: Transfer RNA (tRNA) molecules are approximately 80 nucleotides in length. Their secondary structure includes four short double-helical elements and three loops (D, anti-codon, and T loops). Lineage: Bacteria; Pseudomonadati; Pseudomonadota; Alphaproteobacteria; Hyphomicrobiales; Xanthobacteraceae. The record is from RNAcentral.
GCUCCGUUCGUCUAGUGGCUAGGAUCUCGCUCUUUCAAAGCGAGGAACAGGGAUCGAAACCCUGACGGAGCGCCA